AGAGUUUGAUCCUGGCUCAGGAUGAACGCUAGCGGCAGGCCUAACACAUGCAAGUCGAGGGGUAACAUUGGUGCUUGCACCAGAUGACGACCGGCGCACGGGUGCGUAACGCGUAUACAAUCUACCUUUUGCUAAGGGAUAGCCCAGAGAAAUUUGGAUUAAUACCUUAUAGUAUGCAGACUUCUCAUGGAGAUUGCAUUAAAGAUUACGGCAAAAGAUGAGUAUGCGUCCUAUUAGUUUGUUGGUGUGGUAACGGCACACCAAGACUACGAUAGGUAGGGGCCCUGAGAGGGGGAUCCCCCACACUGGUACUGAGACACGGACCAGACUCCUACGGGAGGCAGCAGUGAGGAAUAUUGGACAAUGGAGGCAACUCUGAUCCAGCCAUGCCGCGUGCAGGAAGACUGCCCUAUGGGUUGUAAACUGCUUUUAUACAGGAAGAAACACUCCCUCGUGAGGGAGCUUGACGGUACUGUAAGAAUAAGGAUCGGCUAACUCCGUGCCAGCAGCCGCGGUAAUACGGAGGAUCCAAGCGUUAUCCGGAAUCAUUGGGUUUAAAGGGUCCGUAGGUGGAUAAUUAAGUCAGAGGUGAAAGUUUGCAGCUCAACUGU
Molecule: ribosomal RNA, 611 nt
Filed under: uncultured bacterium
Lineage: Bacteria
Description: bacterial SSU rRNA
Rfam family: Bacterial small subunit ribosomal RNA
Source: RNAcentral